Molecule: ribosomal RNA, 621 nt
Filed under: uncultured Alphaproteobacteria bacterium
Lineage: Bacteria; Pseudomonadati; Pseudomonadota; Alphaproteobacteria
Description: bacterial SSU rRNA
Rfam family: Bacterial small subunit ribosomal RNA
Source: RNAcentral
CCCUUUAGUACGGAAUAGCCAUUGGAAACGAUGAUUAAUACCGUAUACGCCCCAAGGGGGAAAGAUUUAUCGCUAAAGGAUCGGCCCGCGUUAGAUUAGGUAGUUGGUAGGGUAAUGGCCUACCAAGCCGACGAUCUAUAGCUGGUUUGAGAGGAUGAUCAGCAACACUGGGACUGAGACACGGCCCAGACUUCUACGGAAGGCAGCAGUAGGGAAUCUUGGACAAUGGGCGAAAGCCUGAUCCAGCCAUGCCGCGUGAGUGAUGAAGGCCCUAGGGUUGUAAAGCUCUUUCGCCAGGGAAGAUAAUGACGGUACCUGGUAAAGAAACCCCGGCUAACUCCGUGCCAGCAGCCGCGGUAAUACGGAGGGGGUCAGCGUUGUUCGGAAUUACUGGGCGUAAAGCGCACGUAGGCGGAUUAAUAAGUCAGGGGUGAAAUCCCGAGGCUCAACCUCGGAACUGCCUUUGAUACUGUUAAUCUUGAGUUCGAGAGAGGUGAGUGGAAUUCCGAGUGUAGAGGUGAAAUUCGUAGAUAUUCGGAGGAACACCAGUGGCGAAGGCGGCUCACUGGCUCGAUACUGACGCUGAGGUGCGAAAGCGUGGGGAGCAAACAGGAUUAGAUA